RNAcentral lists this unclassified non-coding RNA (336 nucleotides) under soil metagenome. Its description in RNAcentral is "partial contains 5.8S ribosomal RNA, internal transcribed spacer 2, and large subunit ribosomal RNA". The stretch from base 1 to 120 matches the Rfam family "5.8S ribosomal RNA", at positions 35 to 154 of the family's 154-position model. The record is from RNAcentral.
GAUGAAGAACGUAGUGAAAUGCGAUAAGUAAUGUGAAUUGCAGAAUUCAGUGAAUCAUCGAAUCUUUGAACGCACAUUGCGCCCGCCAGUAUUCUGGCGGGCAUGCCUGUUCGAGCGUCAUUUCAACCAUCAAGCCCCAGGCUUGUGUUGGGGACCUGCGGCUGCCGCAGGCCCUGAAAACCAGUGGCGGGCUCGCUGUCACACCGGGCGUAGUAGAUUUUAUCUCGCUCAGGGCGUGCUGCGGGUUCCGGCCGUUAAAAAGCCUUUUUUACCCAAGGUUGACCUCGGAUCAGGUAGGAAGACCCGCUGAACUUAAGCAUAUCAAUCAGCGGAGGA